UAAAGUUUUGCGAAGCCAGGGGGCGGGACUACUUGAUUGACAGGUCCUAUGGAGGAGGCAGCAGAGACUCUGCUCUCCUCGUUUGGAUUAAUUCUGAUAUAAUAACUGUUGGUUUAUUUAUCGGUGGAGCAGCAGAACCUUUUCCACAGACAGUUUUCCUGCCUGUUGGCUUGUUUUAACCAGUUUUCUGCCUUCGGCUGUUUCUACCAGCAGACACUGAAAGGACUCUGUUUGAGUGAAAGUAGCAGUUCCUCCUGAAGGUCAGAGAUUGCAGCAUCUGAGGGCCUCUUCAAAAGAAGACGUAGUUGAUGAAGGCGUUCUGGAGCAGGACCAGAAAGACCACGACCAAGCAGCCUUGAGAUCUUAGGCAGCGUCUCCCUCAGACCAAAGAACUACAGACUUCACAACCUGCUCAAACUCUUGGUACAGGACCUCACCACACGGGUCAAGAAGGUUUCUGUCUCAUUUCUACUCUGAAGCUCACCUUCUCCUGCUAUAACUGCUGACAAAUGUUUCUGCUACUCUAAAGUCUGGUCUCCAGAACUUCCUAAAAACUCUCAAAGUCUCUUCUGCUGCAGGCUGCUUUGUAGAACUGUUCCAGAAAACCUCACUAAACCACAUGGAGGGGCCUCAAGAUAGUCGUCCAAAUGAAACCAUACAAAAACCAAACUAGCACAACCCAAACACUAAAGUCUCCUGCAGCCUACCAGAGAACCUCUGAGAACAGAGAAUCAGGACAGGAACUCUUACCUUCUGGACAACCAACGCUGGUUCACCAACAAGAAUACAGAAUGUGUCUGACCAAAAACCUCUAAAGACUCACCACAGCCAAGAUAAAGACACAACUCAGCUGCACCAAAUCCACUAAUCACUGCACACACUAGCACCAUGUGCUAACUGUGGCUAAAGAACCACAUUUACCAAGACAACUAUCCAGUACAAAGCCCUAAAACACACCAAGAAACACAUUAAAGACGAUUUUACUGCUGGAAGCUGCAAGCCAACGUCUAAACAACAAACUAAAUCAAUGGAACCAAACCCGAUUCAGUGGUGAACAGAAGCAGAGGAAAUGUUUGGCUGCAGCUAAAUAAAGCAGGAAGACACCGAGCUGCUCAGGUGUUCCUGAUAACACCAAGCAGCCACCUGGACAGCCAAUAGGAACACAGCUUACUGGAAGUCCAGAGGGCUGGCUUAGUCAAGGAAAUUUAGUUUAAAGUUGAAGUAGAAAGUUAACAAAGAAAGUUGAAAACCACCUUCUGAUCCAUGAAAUCUCUGAGUUUUCACACAAAGAACACCUGAACAUGUCAAACUGGUUCCAUAGUAGAACCCUCAUUGUAAAAACGUCAUAGUAUGGUGUGUUGCUCAAAAAACAUUAGGACCCGGCUGUCUAGGGUCACCGAGGAGCAACACAAAAACAGGACAAAUGCUGGUUUCCAGGGGGUUAGGAGGCUAUUUAUUUGAAAGAGGAAGUUUACAACAACACAACAUGUGAGCAGAAAAAUCACAAAGUCUGUCUUUAGUUCAGCUGAAAACAUUAGUUUUUGUCUUUUUUUACUGACCAAACUUUUCAGGAAGUAGAUGAAAAAUAAUUAAAGCUCUCAUGUAGAAGUCCAACUUAUUUUGGAUCCUUGUGGAGAGUUUAAUCUUAGAGUUUGUAAAGCUGUUGAGUUUUUAGAGUCACAUGGAUUGUUUUGACAUUUAAUAACCAAGUCCUGAAAUAAAAUAUAAAAUCAUUCAUAUCGUAGCGUAUCACCAAAAUUGUGCAACAUAAUUCAUAAAGACACUGUCCUACACUAUCUUUGCAAAAAUAAGUCAUAGUAUAAAUGUUUGUAAAAAUAGUAUUUUAUGUCGUAAAUAAACAUCAAAGUAUGGUAUGUCAUAAAAAUCUGUCAUAUUGUAGUAUAUGACUUAAAUAGUGCAUCAUAUGGUCUAAAAAUACAAGUCAUAGUAUAAUGUGGCAGAAAAACAACAUAUGUAAUUUGUCACAAAACAAUUGUCUAUCAUGUCAGAAGAAUUUCAUAGUCGUGAGAAUUUGUCAGGAUGUAAGAUACGGUGAAAACAAUGGAAAGCAACUUGUUAAAAUACUUUUAUAUUGUAUUUAUUUUCAUUUUAUAUUUUAUUUAUUUUUUGUAUUUUUUACAUUUCAUAAAAAACGUCAUUGCAUAAUAUGGCAUUUAAAAAAAUGCCAUAAUAUACUAUGUCGAAAAAAAAAAUGCAAUUUUUCAACAUGUUGCAAAAAAGUGCCAUAUGAUGAAAUAAUGUAUAGGGGGCCGUGUAAAACACUCCAGAAAGG
Molecule: long non-coding RNA, 2293 nt
Organism: Amphiprion ocellaris (clown anemonefish)
Lineage: Eukaryota; Metazoa; Chordata; Actinopteri; Pomacentridae
Source: Ensembl